Molecule: long non-coding RNA, 1012 nt
Filed under: Anas platyrhynchos platyrhynchos (common mallard)
Lineage: Eukaryota; Metazoa; Chordata; Aves; Anseriformes; Anatidae
Description: lncRNA (ENSAPLG00000030568.1)
Source: RNAcentral
UCCUGGGGAGAGGUGAGGAUGAGCAGGUGGGGACCAAAGUCUGUUUGCAAAUCUGAAUUGCUUCAAAAUUACAGUGGGAUAUAUACAUAAAUACAACAGAAAGUCAUUGCCAUACAACUGCCGAUUAUUAUCAUUUUUUCUUUCUUGCCUGGUUUUGACAGACACCUGUGCUUCUGGUGAACUUUUCCCCAUUAGUUUUGCCACCUUUAUCAUCCCGCACUGCCUCUCCCUCAGCUGAUGGCAGUGAAGUGUUUCCGAACCUGCUUCACCUGCACAGAGAAGCUCCACCAGCACAACAAAGCAGUAAAACGUGGGGCUGGGGAAAUGCAUUCCUCUGGCUGCCUUCUCAGAGCACAGAGCUCCUGGGUUUGAACCUUUAGUCCUCCAGUCAUUUCCUGGUGUGUGUAAUUACAACUGUUCCUGAAAUACAAGGCAAAACAAAAGAAGGAUGAUUUCUGCCAAGUAAAUCACAUUGUUAUGUCAGUUACGCAUGUCUGCCUCAAAGAGGGCCAUUAGGGCUUGAUGUGGGUUCCUAUAAAGCUGUCACACCUCCCCAAAUAACUGGGAAGAGAGCAGAAUCCAAACCGAGAGCACCACCAGCUCGAUCACACUGCUUCUAUUUGUGCCCAUCCCUGUGAGUCCGUCACAAAACAAGAUGACUGCAGGAUCCAUUUUCUUCCUGCAUCCCCAGGUGCAUGCCUCGCAGCACCUCUCCGGCCAGUGCUUUUGUUCAUCCCGAGCCAUGAACCCAGUGCAGCUGUAGGAGAGCUGCUCUGCCCCAUCCAAUCCAUCAGUGCCAGAGGAGACGCUUGGCAAAGGCUCAUCUGGCUCCUGGCACACCACCUCGGUAGCACUCGAUGUCACCCUCCCUGGCAUGGGCACUGUGGGGUUUGUUGAGUUUGUGUAAUGAUGGCAAGACCUCUGGGAUGCCUGCUACUCUGAGGGGAUUCACUGAACUAUAUAGGUAUCUUUGGAUUUCUUCCCAACUUGGGUUUCCCGUUUUUCUCAGAUU